RNAcentral lists this unclassified non-coding RNA (2406 nucleotides) under Dermacentor andersoni. RNAcentral's name for it is "uncharacterized LOC126519299". The record is from RNAcentral. Lineage: Eukaryota; Metazoa; Arthropoda; Arachnida; Ixodida; Ixodidae.
CCUUAUGUUCAGGUGCUAAUAGGACAUACAAAAAUUGCUUUUGUAUGUUACCCACAAAGAGCUGUGACAAGAAAAGUUUCUUAUUUCCAGUUCAGUGAAUCCACAGCUACAGUGAUGAAAUUCUACAGUGAGCAGGAAGCAUGCAAAAAGCUCCAUGCAUCUGCAGCAACAUAUGAAUUCACCAGGAGGAUGAACAAAUUAUUUGACUGCUUGAACUCUCAAAGGCCUGAGCAUGUGCAGUACAAUGAAGCUGAACAUGUUGCUACACUGAAAGAGAGCGUUGCAUGGCUUGACAGCUGCUGCACUACAUAAAAAGUCUGCCGAAGCAGAGGCAGAUUUGCUUUUUGAGCAAGCCGACAUGGGAGGCUCUAAGAGUAACCCUGCUCAGUACUAUAUCUCUUGUUGAGAACCUUCUUAAAGCAGGUUUUCGCUAUGCACUGGUGGGAAAGUUUGGACAGGACCCAUUAGAGAGAUUUUUUGGCAUUGUCAGACAUGUUGCCAGUGAUGGAGGACAGCCGACAGUCCAGCAAUUCCUAUUUCUAUAUAGGAUGCUUUCUGUGAAGAAUCUUGUCCAGCCGCCCAAGCGAUCCUCUGUAGCUGGAGAUGGUCCACAACUGCUCCUCAAGCUGCAAGAUUUAUUCAACAAAGAAAAGCCUACUGGGGCCUGUCAUGCUGAUUCUUUGGCUAUUCUUCUGGAUGAAGUCCUCUUGGAACCUGCAGAAACUGUGGAGGAGGCUUCAGUUCUCUGCCAUUAGCAGUCCCCAAAAGAAUGCAUAAGGGAUUGCCUUGCCGGCUAUGUCGCAAAAAAGUUUUCUUCGUUGAGCUGCUCGAGCUGUGUAGGAACAAUGAGAAGUUUUGAACAAGCGGCAACUGGCCUGAUUCUUGCAAAAUCCAAAGGUGGUCUACAAGUGCCCUCCAGCCACCUAGUCGCUCUCCUCCAAAUUGUGGAAGAUCAUUUGGAAGUGUACACAGUUGACAAAACUGCCUGUUCUGAUGUGUACGUUAAUAUUGUGGAGAAUGUUUUGAUGGACAGUCGUACUGCUACAGCUGCUGUCGGCUGCAAAUCGCACUUUGUAAGCCCCACUGCAGAAGUAGUUCAGUUUUUUCUUAAGACCCGCUUGCAUUUUUUCACGAGAGAAAAAAAAAGCAGAUGCAAGCAAAGGGGUGAGCUUCAUGUCCAGCAGGGGUGGUAGGAAACCAACCAGUUGAAGGGGUACCAGUUAAAGGGGCGCAGUAGGUAUCACGAUUAUCGUGUAAAGGCGACCACUUACAAAAAAUUGCAAUGCUGAUGAUGAAAGAGAACAAGGGUGUUGCGAGAUCUGAGCAGGGCAUUGAUAAAAACACAUUUGCUUUAUACUUUGUUGCAACCUCAAUUUGUGUUAUACCAGGAUAGAGUAGUUCACAGCAAUAGCGCCCUUACCGCGACCAUCUAUGAAAGGUAUAGCAUUAGAAUUCCUUUAAUGCAAGUGUUAAAACAAUAAUAUGCAUUGUUUUAUUUUCCAUUGUCCUUUAGUCUUGGCUAUUGAUGGGCUACAAUUCUUCAAUUGCAUGUACUUUUAAGUCUGUAUGCUGCUAUAAAUAAGAAGGUUAUUAGCACACUGUUAGCUAUAUUUGCAUUAUUAUUUCCUGAGCAAGUUGUGUGUGCAUGUUUAAGUAACAGCUGAAGAAGUAGAAAGGUGGUAUCUCUAACAAGCCAUUUAAAAAAAACAUUGCUGUAUUUGUGAUGUGGCUACUUGUGUUCGUUUGAGAGUUGUUUAGCCGUGUGUUAUAAAAUGCUUAUGCUUUACACUUUCUUGUUUAUAGAAACAAUCGAUAUGCAUUCUGUAUUUAUUGCCAUUCGUUUGCUGAUGUUUGUUUCCUGCCCCCCAAUGCAUACCUCUCACGUUUGAUCUUAUUUUUUUAUGCUUAUUAUAUCAGGUCAUGCUUUUAACAAACUUCUUGAAUUGUGAAUGAUGGACCAUUCAUGACUGGACGCCUCUGUGCUGUCUGUAUUUCUCUCCGCUUAUUUUACAUCAUAAAUAAAUGAUCGUGCUUGUAUGUUGUUUUUGCACCAACACGUUUUAUUUCUUUUCUUAAUCGAAUUAUAAAGUUUUUUUUUUCAUUUUUUGACCAUGAUAAGAAUUUCAGGACCGGUGAUUGCAACAUUUUAACAUAUUGUAAAUAGUUGCGCAUUAAGAACCAAAAUUCCUAGUCUCGUCGUUUCUGUGUCGAAACAACGAGCAGCGUGAGUAAGUGCUGGGCUUACUGACGCUUCUAAACGACUGCUUGCUAAGGCAAUUGCCUAAUUACAAUACAGCUAGUUUCAACUGUGCAGGUCCUAACACUUCACGUUCGCCUUAAUCCGUUGCUAAAAGCCGCACCGAAGACAUUUAGUAGCUUAGUUUGUCUUGCAUUAAUCCUACCUAA